Prunus dulcis (almond) is the source of this 793-nucleotide long non-coding RNA. RefSeq lists it as uncharacterized. The record is from RefSeq and is a predicted model, not a curated record. The transcript is spliced from 3 exons. Lineage: Eukaryota; Viridiplantae; Streptophyta; Magnoliopsida; Rosales; Rosaceae.
UCCAAAACCCAAAACCAAACUGCCCGUCCUAUUUUCUCUUACAACCGCAAAGCCAAAUACCAAGCUCUACACAGACAUGGACAAGACAAUGUCCCAUCUUUGGAAUGCCUGAAAUUGGAUUCCUAGUCGGAGGUGCUUGAUAAGGAUGGCAGCGGAAAGGAUCUUUUCUCGCCAGCUAUGGUCCCCCUCAACUGCGAUACGCCAAUAAUCGGGAGCAAGACUGAAGAAUUAGAUGAUGAAGAAUCAGAUGAUGAAGAAUCAGAGUUUUGAAAAUCAAAGAUUGAAGAAUCAGAGGAUGAAAAAUCAGAGGAUGGAGAAAGUUAUGGUGAAUGUAAGUAUUGUUUAAAGGUGGAUAAGCACCCUACAUACCUAUGCCCUUAUAAGUGUCGAGUCCCAAAGAACGCAGUUGUUGGCGACAGUUGUGUGGUUGAAUGUCUUGUAUGUGGCUGCCUCUUUAGAGACUCGUGUUGUGCUGGUUGUGGCCUAAGCAUAGGACAUGCACUUCUCAAGGAUUGUACAACUUGUGGGAAGCAAGAAGAACACUUGAAUUAUGAGUGCCCGAAACGUGAGGAGAAACAUAAGGAUUGUAGUUUUACUUAUGACCCUUUCACUGGUUCUUUUUCUGUCGAGAUUUGCCCUUUGAAGUAGAAGAAAAUGAAGAGUUAGUUGUACUCUAGAGUUAAAGCAAAAGAGCAAGGAGUCUUAUUUUCCAUAAAUGCUAUGCAUCCUAUCAUUUUGAUGUCUACAUCGUGUAUUGUUUUUAUCUCAAAUGAAUUGCAAUUUGCAGCACAUG